This is an RNA transcript of Hevea brasiliensis (rubber tree), 1547 nucleotides long. It is a transcript of the gene named thiamine pyrophosphokinase 1, with no coding region annotated. The transcript is spliced from 6 exons. NCBI's taxonomy places the organism in Eukaryota, Viridiplantae, Streptophyta, Magnoliopsida, Malpighiales, Euphorbiaceae. The record is from RefSeq and is a predicted model, not a curated record.
UCGCGCAUGGCGUGGAGAAAGGGGAGAGCGCGCGCGCGUUGGAGUCGGGGCUAAAGAAGAGUCAUAGUUUUGACUUUAACCAAGCCGACUCCUGCCAAGGAAGAAAGCAAGAUCUUACUUAUUUUUUAUUUUCUCGUUCCUGCCAAACGCAACCGCCCUCCACAACUCGGGCAAAAUGGAACUCAUGGCCCAUUCUUCCGCCUUCCUCCUUCCCACGAUCUCCGGCGACCACCGCCCUUCUUUUACCUACGUCCUCGUCGUGCUUAACCAGCGACUUCCGCGGUUCAUUCCUCUCCUCUGGAAGCACUCACAACUACGCGUCUGUGCAGAUGGAGGUGCCAACCGAGUCUACGAUGAAAUGCCUUUUUUGUUCCCGCACGAAGAGGCUCUUGAUGUUCGACACAGGUACAAGCCAGAUGUAAUUGAGGGAGACAUGGAUUCAAUCCGAAUGGAAGUACGGGAUUUUUAUACCAGCCUGGGAACCAAGGUGGUUGAUGAAUCUCAUGAUCAGGACACUACAGAUCUACAUAAGUGCAUUUCAUAUAUUCGUGACUUCACUCCAGACUUGGACAGGUCUAAUCUUUGCGUUCUUGUAGCUGGAGCACUUGGGGGGCGAUUUGACCAUGAGGCUGGAAACAUUAAUGUUCUGUAUCGGUUCUCAACCAUGCGAAUAAUUCUUAUAUCUGAUGAUUGCCUCAUCUACCUCCUUCCAAGGACUCACUAUCAUGAGAUUUAUAUCCAAUCUUCUGUUGAGGGUCCACAUUGUGGACUCAUUCCCAUAGGGAUGCCAUCUGGAAAUACCACAACAACUGGACUCCAAUGGGAUCUCAGUAAGUAUAUGGUAUUAAAAUAUUUUGGUGUUUACUUUCUCAGCUAAAGCUGAAACUGGCUGAGCUCAAAUCUGACUCUAGUGUUGUCUGGGCACCAUUCUCUCUAAAUCAAGUCUUUGUUAUACAAGCAAUUCAGUAUGCUUGUCAUCUAACUCUGUACAGGCAUCAAGGCAUCUUUUGUUUUGUGUUUUGCCUGGCUUAAGACACUGCAGCUCCCAUCCAUCUCAUGUUAUACAAUGACAGUGAAUGGUGAUUAAACAACCAGAGCUAAAAACAUCGGCGUUUCCAGCAAUUUGCUAAUUUAAUGACAUGGAGAUGAGGUUUGGUGGUCUAGUAAGUACGUCUAACAUAGUCAGAGGAGAAAAGGUAACAGUACAAUCAAGUUCGGAUCUUCUUUGGACGAUUUCCAUUAAGAAGACAUAAUACCCACUGCUUCAGAUAGUCUGUAAGUUCUCCUAACGUACACUGAAAUGGCCUUUUCAAUAAAUAAAGCGCAUUUUAGAUUGUUCUUAUGUGCAUAUGUGAUUUUGUUGUUCGGAAAAAAUUAUUGGCAGUAGCAACAUUUCUUCUAACCGUUUGUUUCUUUAAGUAAGUUUAGGUCUAUUGUUCCUCUCUCCCUUUUUUUUUUUUUCAAUUUUUCCUUGUCUUUUGUUGUUUGCACCAUGCUUUGUUUGGACGAUGUCAACUUAUUUCCCAUUCAAUGAUUUUGCUUCAUUA